This 492-nucleotide ribosomal RNA is filed under the name uncultured bacterium. RNAcentral's name for it is "partial 16S ribosomal RNA". It matches the Rfam family "Bacterial small subunit ribosomal RNA", at positions 29 to 507 of the family's 1533-position model. The record is from RNAcentral.
AGUGAACGCUGGCGGUAGGCCUAACACAUGCAAGUCGAACGGCAGCACAGUAAGAGCUUGCUCUUACGGGUGGCGAGUGGCGGACGGGUGCGGGAUACAUCUGAAUCUACUUUUUCGUGGGGGCUAACGUAGGGAAACUUACGCUAAUACCGCAUACGACCUACGGGUGAAAGCAGGGGAUCUUCGGACCUUGCGCGAUUGAAUGAGCCGAUGUCGGAUUAGCUAGUUGGCGGGGUAAAGGCCCACCAAGGCGACGAUCCGUAGCUGGUCUGAGAGGAUGAUCAGCCACACUGGAACUGAGACACGGUCCAGACUCCUACGGGAGGCAGCAGUGGGGAAUAUUGGACAAUGGGCGCAAGCCUGAUCCAGCCAUACCGCGUGGGUGAAGAAGGCCUUCGGGUCGUAAAGCCCUUUUGUUGGGAAAGAAAAGCAGCAGGUUAAUACCCCGCUGUUCUGACGGUACCCAAAGAAUAAGCACCGGCUAACUUCGUG